Molecule: ribosomal RNA, 964 nt
Filed under: Escherichia coli
Lineage: Bacteria; Pseudomonadati; Pseudomonadota; Gammaproteobacteria; Enterobacterales; Enterobacteriaceae
Description: partial 23S ribosomal RNA
Rfam family: Bacterial large subunit ribosomal RNA
Source: RNAcentral
AACCGAGAUUCCCCCAGUAGCGGCGAGCGAACGGGGAGCAGCCCAGAGCCUGAAUCAGUGUGUGUGUUAGUGGAAGCGUCUGGAAAGGCGCGCGAUACAGGGUGACAGCCCCGUACACAAAAAUGCACAUACUGUGAGCUCGAUGAGUAGGGCGGGACACGUGGUAUCCUGUCUGAAUAUGGGGGGACCAUCCUCCAAGGCUAAAUACUCCUGACUGACCGAUAGUGAACCAGUACCGUGAGGGAAAGGCGAAAAGAACCCCGGCGAGGGGAGUGAAAAAGAACCUGAAACCGUGUACGUACAAGCAGUGGGAGCACGCUUAGGCGUGUGACUGCGUACCUUUUGUAUAAUGGGUCAGCGACUUAUAUUCUGUAGCAAGGUUAACCGAAUAGGGGAGCCGAAGGGAAACCGAGUCUUAACUGGGCGUUAAGUUGCAGGGUAUAGACCCGAAACCCGGUGAUCUAGCCAUGGGCAGGUUGAAGGUUGGGUAACACUAACUGGAGGACCGAACCGACUAAUGUUGAAAAAUUAGCGGAUGACUUGUGGCUGGGGGUGAAAGGCCAAUCAAACCGGGAGAUAGCUGGUUCUCCCCGAAAGCUAUUUAGGUAGCGCCUCGUGAAUUCAUCUCCGGGGGUAGAGCACUGUUUCGGCAAGGGGGUCAUCCCGACUUACCAACCCGAUGCAAACUGCGAAUACCGGAGAAUGUUAUCACGGGAGACACACGGCGGGUGCUAACGUCCGUCGUGAAGAGGGAAACAACCCAGACCGCCAGCUAAGGUCCCAAAGUCAUGGUUAAGUGGGAAACGAUGUGGGAAGGCCCAGACAGCCAGGAUGUUGGCUUAGAAGCAGCCAUCAUUUAAAGAAAGCGUAAUAGCUCACUGGUCGAGUCGGCCUGCGCGGAAGAUGUAACGGGGCUAAACCAUGCACCGAAGCUGCGGCAGCGACGCUUAUGCGUUGUUGGGUA